CUGCUUCAUUUACUUUUGUUUCCCCUCGUCACUAGGAGAUUAAUUCCUUUUUGCAGAGGAUUGGGCAAGUACUCAUGCAUCCAAUAUUUGAUUGGGAGCCCAGCCCAGGUCUCCGUUCCCUAUUCCUUUUUGCUGAUACGAAUUUGCCUGUAUGCUGAUCUCUACUUGUGCAGAGAGGAUAAUCAAGGUGCAGUCAAACCACCAUUCCUUGCGGUAGAAUGUCAAGCAACAAUAUUACAACAUGCAAUUACAAACUUAUUUUGUAUCACCUAUUUGACUGAUGGAUGAGGCAGGCUAUCUUACCUAAACUAGGUAAUUUUUCAUAACCAUCUUAAGUAAGCCUAUGUUACAAACUAGACUGAUCCCAUGGCAUGAAAUAGUUGUGUUAUUGGCUUAAGAUAUUCGAGGUGUGGAAGAAAAGAGUGGAUAUGACCAUGAGGUCCAUUCCAUGAAAAUUCACUUUUGCCAUGUUUUGAAGACUGAGAUUAGCAUUUAGCCCAUUGCUGCAACAAUGUUGUUCCACAUAGAUUUAUGAGUUCAACUUAUUAUCUAUUGGGUUCGGUAUCACAGAUUGCUUUUAACCUUUUGGUUAAUUCGAUGUAUUAUGGAUGGAGCCUAGCCAAGCAGCUGAGGCAUCUCUUCGAGUGUCUCAACUUUAUUAGGAAGCUGUGCAUGGUUUUGAGGUGUGAGGUGUGACUAUGAGCCAUCAUAGAAGAUUGUUCAACUUGGGAUUGUUUCUUUGGUCUACCUAGGUUACUAAGUCCUCU
Rosa rugosa (rugosa rose) is the source of this 767-nucleotide long non-coding RNA. RefSeq lists it as uncharacterized. NCBI's taxonomy places the organism in Eukaryota, Viridiplantae, Streptophyta, Magnoliopsida, Rosales, Rosaceae. The record is from RefSeq and is a predicted model, not a curated record. The transcript has 3 exons.